AACGAACGCUGGCGGCAGGCCUAACACAUGCAAGUCGAGCGAGGACUUCGGUCCUAGCGGCGGACGGGUGAGUAACGCGUGGGAACGUGCCCUUUGCUUCGGAAUAGCCCUGGGAAACUGGGAGUAAUACCGGAUGAGCCCUUUGGGGGAAAGAUUUAUCGGCGAAGGAUCGGCCCGCGUUGGAUUAGGUAGUUGGUGGGGUAAUGGCCUACCAAGCCGACGAUCCAUAGCUGGUUUGAGAGGAUGAUCAGCCACACUGGGACUGAGACACGGCCCAGACUCCUACGGGAGGCAGCAGUGGGGAAUCUUAGACAAUGGGGGAAACCCUGAUCUAGCCAUGCCGCGUGAGCGAUGAAGGCCUUAGGGUUGUAAAGCUCUUUCAGCUGGGAAGAUAAUGACGGUACCAGCAGAAGAAGCCCCGGCUGACUCCGUG
RNAcentral lists this ribosomal RNA (433 nucleotides) under uncultured bacterium. RNAcentral describes it as "partial 16S ribosomal RNA". It matches the Rfam family "Bacterial small subunit ribosomal RNA", at positions 29 to 507 of the family's 1533-position model. The record is from RNAcentral.